RNAcentral lists this ribosomal RNA (2509 nucleotides) under Campylobacter coli. Its description in RNAcentral is "partial 23S ribosomal RNA". It matches the Rfam family "Bacterial large subunit ribosomal RNA", at positions 580 to 2925 of the family's 2925-position model. Lineage: Bacteria; Pseudomonadati; Campylobacterota; Epsilonproteobacteria; Campylobacterales; Campylobacteraceae. The record is from RNAcentral.
CACUAUGUAGCAAUACAGUGUGAUGGACUGCCUUUUGCAUAAUGAGCCUGCGAGUUGUGGUGUCUGGCAAGGUUAAGCAAACGCGAAGCCGUAGCGAAAGCGAGUCUGAAUAGGGCGCUUAGUCAGAUGCUGCAGACCCGAAACGAAGUGAUCUAUCCAUGAGCAAGUUGAAGCUAGUGUAAGAACUAGUGGAGGACUGAACCCAUAGGCGUUGAAAAGCCCCGGGAUGACUUGUGGAUAGGGGUGAAAGGCCAAUCAAACUUCGUGAUAGCUGGUUCUCUCCGAAAUAUAUUUAGGUAUAGCGUUGUGUCGUAAUAUAAGGGGGUAGAGCACUGAAUGGGCUAGGGCAUACACCAAUGUACCAAACCCUAUCAAACUCCGAAUACCUUAUAUGUAAUCACAGCAGUCAGGCGGCGAGUGAUAAAAUCCGUCGUCAAGAGGGAAACAACCCAGACUACCAGCUAAGGUCCCUAAAUCUUACUUAAGUGGAAAACGAUGUGAAGUUACUUAAACAACCAGGAGGUUGGCUUAGAAGCAGCCAUCCUUUAAAGAAAGCGUAAUAGCUCACUGGUCUAGUGAUUUUGCGCGGAAAAUAUAACGGGGCUAAAGUAAGUACCGAAGCUGUAGACUUGCGCACAACUUAGAUUAUUUAAGUUUAGAAUAUGAGAAACUAAGUUAUAUGUUUAGUUAUAUUUUUACUGAUUUUUAUAGAGUAAAGAUAGAAAUAAAACUUAGUAAAAUCAGUAAAAAUAUUCUUAGACUAAAGUUAAGUAGUUUAAGUUGUGUGCAAGUGGUAGGAGAGCGUUCUAUUUGCGUCGAAGGUAUACCGGUAAGGAGUGCUGGAGCGAAUAGAAGUGAGCAUGCAGGCAUGAGUAGCGAUAAUUAAUGUGAGAAUCAUUAACGCCGUAAACCCAAGGUUUCCUACGCGAUGCUCGUCAUCGUAGGGUUAGUCGGGUCCUAAGUCGAGUCCGAAAGGGGUAGACGAUGGCAAAUUGGUUAAUAUUCCAAUACCAACAUUAGUGUGCGAUGGAAGGACGCUUAGGGCUAAGGGGGCUAGCGGAUGGAAGUGCUAGUCUAAGGUCGUAGGAGGUUAUACAGGCAAAUCCGUAUAACAAUACUCCGAGAACUGAAAGGCUUUUUGAAGUCUUCGGAUGGAUAGAAGAACCCCUGAUGCCAUCGAGCCAAGAAAAGUUUCUAAGUUUAGCUAAUGUUGCCCGUACCGUAAACCGACACAGGUGGGUGGGAUGAGUAUUCUAAGGCGCGUGGAAGAACUCUCUUUAAGGAACUCUGCAAAAUAGCACCGUAUCUUCGGUAUAAGGUGUGGUUCGCUUCGUAUUAGGAUUUACUCCGAAAGCGAAGAAACUUACAACAAAGAGUCCCUCCCGACUGUUUACCAAAAACACAGCACUCUGCUAACUCGUAAGAGGAUGUAUAGGGUGUGACGCCUGCCCGGUGCUCGAAGGUUAAUUGAUGGGGUUAGCAUUAGCGAAGCUCUUGAUCGAAGCCCGAGUAAACGGCGGCCGUAACUAUAACGGUCCUAAGGUAGCGAAAUUCCUUGUCGGUUAAAUACCGACCUGCAUGAAUGGCGUAACGAGAUGGGAGCUGUCUCAAAGAGGGAUCCAGUGAAAUUGUAGUGGAGGUGAAAAUUCCUCCUACCCGCGGCAAGACGGAAAGACCCCGUGGACCUUUACUACAGCUUGACACUGCUAUUUGGAUAAGAAUGUGCAGGAUAGGUGGGAGGCUUUGAGUAUAUGACGCCAGUUGUAUAUGAGCCAUUGUUGAGAUACCACUCUUUCUUAUUUGGGUAGCUAACCAGCUUGAGUUAUCCUCAAGUGGGACAAUGUCUGGUGGGUAGUUUGACUGGGGCGGUCGCCUCCCAAAUAAUAACGGAGGCUUACAAAGGUUGGCUCAGAACGGUUGGAAAUCGUUCGUAGAGUAUAAAGGUAUAAGCCAGCUUAACUGCAAGACAUACAAGUCAAGCAGAGACGAAAGUCGGUCUUAGUGAUCCGGUGGUUCUGUGUGGAAGGGCCAUCGCUCAAAGGAUAAAAGGUACCCCGGGGAUAACAGGCUGAUCUCCCCCAAGAGCUCACAUCGACGGGGAGGUUUGGCACCUCGAUGUCGGCUCAUCGCAUCCUGGGGCUGGAGCAGGUCCCAAGGGUAUGGCUGUUCGCCAUUUAAAGCGGUACGCGAGCUGGGUUCAGAACGUCGUGAGACAGUUCGGUCCCUAUCUGCCGUGGGCGUAAGAAGAUUGAAGAGAUUUGACCCUAGUACGAGAGGACCGGGUUGAACAAACCACUGGUGUAGCUGUUGUUCUGCCAAGAGCAUCGCAGCGUAGCUAAGUUUGGAAAGGAUAAACGCUGAAAGCAUCUAAGCGUGAAGCCAACUCUAAGAUGAAUCUUCUCUAAGCUCUCUAGAAGACUACUAGUUUGAUAGGCUGGGUGUGUAAUGGAUGAAAGUCCUUUAGCUGACCAGUACUAAUAGAGCGUUUGGCUUAUCUUUAAUAAAGCAU